This 202-nucleotide ribosomal RNA is filed under the name Salmonella enterica subsp. enterica serovar 1,4,[5],12:i:-. RNAcentral describes it as "partial 23S ribosomal RNA". It matches the Rfam family "Bacterial large subunit ribosomal RNA", at positions 516 to 720 of the family's 2925-position model. The record is from RNAcentral. Lineage: Bacteria; Pseudomonadati; Pseudomonadota; Gammaproteobacteria; Enterobacterales; Enterobacteriaceae.
GAAAAGAACCCCGGCGAGGGGAGUGAAAAAGAACCUGAAACCGUGUACGUACAAGCAGUGGGAGCACCCUUCGGGGUGUGACUGCGUACCUUUUGUAUAAUGGGUCAGCGACUUAUAUUCUGUAGCACGGUUAACCGUAUAGGGGAGCCGUAGGGAAACCGAGUCUUAACCGGGCGUUAAGUUGCAGGGUAUAGACCCGAAA